RNAcentral lists this ribosomal RNA (197 nucleotides) under uncultured bacterium. Its description in RNAcentral is "partial 16S ribosomal RNA". It matches the Rfam family "Bacterial small subunit ribosomal RNA", at positions 328 to 539 of the family's 1533-position model. The record is from RNAcentral.
ACGCUCGACACCUACGGGAGGCAGCAGUGGGAAUAUUGCACAAUGGGGGAAACCCUGAUGCAGCGACGCCGCGUGGAGGAAGAAGGUCUUCGGAUUGUAAACUCCUGUUGUUGGGGAAAAAGAGGAUGGUACCCAACAAGGAAGUGACAGCUAACUACGUGCUAGCAGCCGCGGUAAUCUGAGCGGGCUGGCAAGGC